Molecule: long non-coding RNA, 5076 nt
Filed under: Coffea arabica (coffee)
Lineage: Eukaryota; Viridiplantae; Streptophyta; Magnoliopsida; Gentianales; Rubiaceae
Description: long non-coding RNA (CARA_LNC008300)
Source: RNAcentral
GGGUACUCUUAUGGAUAUUGAUCACUUGUUCCCUGACAUGAUACAGAGAAAAAUGUCUCAGGUGAGAGAAUGAGACUGUGAGAAAGAUGAGAUGAUUUUAAGAGAAAGAUGCGCUGUUUUUCUGGAAGCAGGAUAAAGGGUUUCUCAGAAAUUUAGGAACCGUUAUAUAUCGAGUUGCUGUAUUGUCUUUCUAGUUCUAGAUCCUGAAUUGGAAUGUACAGCUAAGAAUUGGACGCAGACAACAAAUUUACCGUAGAACAAAAGAGAUGGGAUAGUCUGUACAAGUUUACACGAUGGUAAUAAAAAUCAUGCUUUCCUGCUAUCGCUGUCCAAGUUAAGGGGAAGUAACACAAAUGUGCAGGGCAGCUUCAAAAAUUUAUUGAUAGGGGUGUCUUAAAGAACCUUUUGCUGUUCCAUUCAAGCCUAAAUCUGGGGGCAAUUCAAACGAGUGGAAAGAAUUUCUUCAAAAGCUGAAAGAUUAAGAAACCAAUUACUAGUACAUAUUCUUUACUUGGCCCCUUGCUGGGGAUGCUAGAUCUUUUUUCAGGUUUGGUUAUUUGAUUUUGUUGGAGGAAAACUAAUGCAUGUGCCGUAAAGAAGUAUGAAGCUCUAGUAGAUUUUAACUUGUGAAGUGUGCCUCUGCAGCAUAUAUUAAUUCGAAUCCUAUCUUUGGAGGAGGAAGGAGGAGAGGGGGGGGGGGUGGUGGGGUGAGCAGCCUCCUGUGACAAAUGAUGACAUCCCAUGAAAUUGAUAUUUGCAUUAUCUAUUGGGAUAAUUGCAGAAACCUCCCCUGAGAUAUCUGACAUUUGCACUGACCUCCCUCUCUAGGUUUAGAAAUUGCAUUCACCUCCCCUGAACAGUAACAAUUGGUUGCAGAGACCUCCUUGACAGCUUUUGUAGAAGUGAGAUAAGAAUUUUCUUCCAAUUUUGCCCUUACUUGCUUGACAAUUAUUAUUUGCUUGACAAUUGCUUAACUAAUUAUCUAAUUAGUUAAUAGUUAAACUAAUUAACUAUUAACUAAUUAUCUAAUUAAUUAAUUAACUAACUAACUACUCCCUCCCUUUUUUUAUAACUGACGUUUAAGGUUUUACACACUAAUUAAGAAAAGUUUUUCAAUGCUUAAAUCUGUACACUAUUUUCCUUUUGUACCCUCAUUAAUUGUCUAAUUCAUCCAUGUUUUCUCUCACUAUAGUACUAAAUGGUGCUAUUUUACUAGGCCAAAAGCAAUGCAUGGGAGUGUAUUAAUACCAGAGAGAUAAAAGGGUAAAAUUGUGAAAAAGUAAUUAAUGCUGUAUGGGGAUAAUAAAAUGACAGAUAAAAGUACACUAGAGCAAAUUUCUUAAACGUCAGUUAUAAAAAAAGGGAGAGAGUAAUUAUCUAAUUAACUAAUUAAUUAAAGUUGUUGUCUGUCCGAAACUAACAAACUAUUUGCAUGUUAAACUAAUUAACUGCUUAACUAAUUAACUAACUAACUAAUUAACAAACUAUUUGCAUGUUAAACUAUAUGUAGUACGCAUUACCUAUUUAAAGUAUCGGCUCUUUAAGGGUAUUUUACUUUCAAACAUUUAAUUUAUGAUAAAAACAUCAAUGUUUGUAAAUAAAAUUCAAAAAGUGUUACAGUAAUAUCAAUAUUCUUACAAACAUUUAAUAUUCUUAUAAAAAGGGAGGGGCAUAGGGCCAUAAGUCAUAGCCACCGCCCCAUGCAAAAAGUAUUAGAUGUAUUACAUGCACUUGAAUAUACAGAGCAUACAAGAAAUAAAUAUAGCACAUGAAUGUAUUACACCCAGUCCAAAGGUCCACUUGUAGGACAGGUAGUAUAUUCUCCAGACAAGCAGAUGUACUACACCCACAUGUAUGCAUUCUCCAACGGCUCACUUGAAGGUCAAGUGGUAUGGUCAAGGGUCACACAUGACUAUGACUCUUGAACAUAUCUAUGAUCUUCAUUAAUUUUAUUUUAUUUUUCUAUUUUGAGAGCAAAAGAAAUAAAUAUUCUCGUUAGAAUUUAAAUCAUAAAUUAAUAAAUAAUAUUUGUACUUAGUUCUGACAAAAAUGGCUUACAAUGAAUUCUUGUAUUUAAGAAUUGCAAAAACUUUAAAUUCUUCAUUCAUAAGUUCUUCAUCUACAGAAGAGCAUACAAGAAAUAAACUAAUAUAAUCUUUUGCUAAGAAAUCUCCUAAUAAAUUGCAACUAAAGAUACUUCUAAUUCAAAAUACUUGAAAAUAUCAAAAAACACCAAUUGUUGAACUACUCUAACAAUUAACUAAUAACUUAAUUUAUUAACCAAAUAGACCUAUUCUAAUAUUAAAAAGUUGCAUUGUUUCAAUGGUUUUCCUAGUUUUUUUUUUUAGUCAAAUGGCAACAUCUACUCUACUCCUACUCAUAUUCUAGUCUAUACUAGGGUGAGGGAAGACCCAACUGGAUCAAUUGAGAAACGAUGAGCUUUGAAUCACCAUCGGAUCCGACGGGUGCACUACACACCCAUAUGAAUUUUGGAGAAGCCACAUAUAGUGGCACAACAAUGAUGCGAGGAAAAUUUUGAAUUCUUGACCUCAUAUCCCACCAAAACUUAAAAUCUUUUAUGGGAGACAAAAAGUUUCAAUGGUCUUUCUAGUUACUUUGCUGCUUUUGUUGCAAAUUUAGAAUUGUCUUUUAAAAAUCUUCAAACACAAGACUUUUAUAGAAUAUUUGUAAAUUGAUGAUUAGCCUGGCGAUGAACCACCUGUUUUGGCUUUGUAGGCCAGAUUCUAAAAUAAACGGUGACAUCUUUGACGUAUCCAAAUAACCUCUUUAAAGGUCCAAAAUGGAACAUCUUUCUGUAACAUUUGAACAUGAACAGAAAACUUGCAAGAUGCAAAAUAUUUGCCAAAAUAUAUUUGCUUACAUCAUCAUUACAAUUUCCAACACACCUUUUUAUCUUCCCAAUUACCUUUUUAUCUCACAUACAUCACAUCACAAAAAGUGCUACAGUAAAAAUAUCUCUAAUAAUUCACAAUCCAAACAAACCCUAAGGGUAUUCGACACCUUCCACUUACCAAAAAAAUAAAAAGUUGAUUAAAAACAACUUAACUUAUUAACCAAAUUGGCCUAUUUUAAAGUUAGAAAGUUGCAGAAGAAUUUGCAUUAUUCUAACAAUAAUGUUUGUCAUAUUUCCUGUACGGAAGCUGGAUUAUUCUAACAAUGUUUGUCAUCUUUCCUUUUUCCUUGCUAAUGGCCACGCAUUGAACUCGUGGGUGGAUCACUAAAUAUGGUGCAACAAUACUUGGCAAAAUGACAUUUUGAAAAAUUAAAAUUUGAAACUUAAGUGGGCAAAGCAAGGGACUAGAAAAUGAUGGGAAAUGACCGCGCAUCCUUAGUUGAUAUCCACAAAUUUUCACUACCUUAGGUUGGCUAAAAAUGCAUUAAACAUUAUUAACGUGACGAGGAACAUGGAUAUCACGGCGCUUAAAGCUUAAGGACUUCUUCAAUGGUAAAUCAUUUAUCCGGACCAAGAAAAUCCCUUCCCAUCCAAGAAAUAAAGAAAAGGAAAAUGGACACAAAUUAAAGGACGGUGACAUGAUAUAUACUCCCUCCGUCCCACUUUGAUAGUCCUGUAUUCCUUUUUCAUCUGUCCAAAAUUGUAGUCCACUUUCCAAUUGAAGAAUGUAGUUGUAUUUUAAUUUUCUUAAAAUACCCUUAUUCAAUGUAAGUAGUUGUUACUAUAAACCUACCCCAUUUAAUGAGAGUUGAUUCUUUUUUACCAUCAAUUCAAGUUCUCAUAAAGUUGUACCAUAUUUAAUGUGAGGGUAUUUUAGGAAAAUAGCAAUCUAAAUUUACUUUUCCAACAAAGUUAACUACUUUUUCUUAAAUUGUGUGAAAAAAAAUAGGACUAUCAAAGUGGGACGGAGGGAGUAAGUAGGUCAAGCAACGUGCUGGCGAAAUAAGAUACAAGCGUCAUAAUCAUAACCUGCUCGGUGUUUGAAAUAUGGCGGGCCAGAAAAAAGGACCAGUUUUUCUUCUUCUUCUUUUUCUUUUUAAAUUUUUUUUAUUAAAGGUUGCCGCAUUUUGAAUCCUUGGAGUUCAUAUACUUCUCUAGACGAACGUUUCAUUCCUUGCAAGCAUAAUCCAUUGCCCGCCAAGCAAUUGAAAUCCAAUGCGUACCUCUAUAAGCCAAAUUAUUAAUUCACGACUCAAAAAAAGAAAAAGAAGAGAAAAAGGAGGCUAGAAAAAUGUUCUAAACAGUCCUCAACAUUACAGCGAAGUUGUAUUAAACUAAAUGAAAUACAUUGGAGAAAACAAUAAAAGAAUGAUCAUAUUUUACUUCCGGUGAUCCUUAAUUUACCGAAAAAGGGCAAAAAAAAAACGGAAGUCGAUAUAGACGUACAAAAACAAAAUCAUCAUCUAGGUGAUUAGAGUAGUAUACUUAUGAUUGCACCGUGCAUCCCUGGAACGGCAGCUAGCGCAGACAUGUUGUUGUCCCAAAUCCCAAGUCAAUUAUGCGUACCAGUAGUGAAGGAAUGUCCUUGGCCGGGACUUGGGCCAGAACUCUUGACAGCUUGAAAAAUAAGAAGAAUGUCGUGGAGGCGAUUCCUAUAAGCUCCUUGAGCGUGAUAUGAUGUUGUUUGAGCAUGAUACGGAUGAUGGUACCGAUGGUUUGGGAGAUUAAGACGGCGAGCUUCGAUCGAGGUGACUUGAAGCGAGCUGAAGCACAAGCAUAAGGCGAUAGCAACUACUAUUAGGAGAUUGUUUUGCUGUCUGGUGCCAUGAUCGAUACUCAAAUUAAAUCAGUGAGAAGCUGUUCUUUUUGCUGCAAGAGAGCAGCAAAUUAGAUGUGUAUGAUGUAUGAAGCACUAACUCCCCAGUUGCUAAUUCGUUUUGAUGUAUUUAUACCGAGGCAAAGAUUGUGGCUAAGAUCGUUUGACCAUAUGAGAGAUUGGAACGGAGCGGUGGCAAAAGUGGGCGGUUCAAACACGCUUGGGAUGCUACGGCUGUAUUAAGGAAGCAUGGGUGGAAAAAAUGCACAUACGAGAGACGGAGUCAGGAAGAGGGUUUGAAUUCUAAGGAUGGAAAUUUUCUCGGUGAACGAGGCCGAACUGCGAG